This 401-nucleotide ribosomal RNA is filed under the name uncultured bacterium. RNAcentral describes it as "bacterial SSU rRNA". It matches the Rfam family "Bacterial small subunit ribosomal RNA", at positions 355 to 772 of the family's 1533-position model. The record is from RNAcentral.
UGAGGAAUUUUCGUCAAUGGGGGCAACCCUGAACGAGCAACGCCGCGUGCAGGAGGACGCUUUUCGGAGUGUAAACUGCUUUUCUGAGGGACGAGCAAGGACGGUACCUCAGGAACAAGCCCCGGCUAACUACGUGCCAGCAGCCGCGGUAAUACGUAGGGGGCGAGCGUUGUCCGGAGUUACUGGGCGUAAAGGGCACGUAGGCGGUCAUGCCAGUCUGAAGUGACAGUUCCCGGCUCAACUGGGGAAGGUCUUUGGAAACUGCAUGACUUGAGGGCUUCAGAGGGACACGGAAUUCCGGGUGGAGUGGUGAAAUGCGUAGAGAUCCGGAGGAACACCAAAGGCGAAGGCAGUGUCCUGGGAAGUAUCUGACGCUCAGGUGCGAAAGCCAGGGGAGCGAA